UUUCCGGUUGAUCCUGCCAGAGGCGACCGCUAUUGGAGUUCGAUUAAGCCAUGCGAGUCGAGAGUCUUAGGGACUCGGCAUACUGCUCAGUAACACGUGGAUAACCUGCCCUAUGCAAGGGGAUAACCUCGAGAAAUUGAGAAUAAUACCCUAUAGGUCACCAUGCCUGGAACGGUUGGUGACUAAAAGUUCAGGCGGCAUAGGAUGGGUCUGCGGCGUAUCAGGUUGUAGUGGGUGUAAUGUACCUACUAGCCAUUGACGCGUACGGGUGUUGGGAGACAUAGCCCGGAGAUGGAUUCUGAGACACGAAUCCAGACCCUACGGGGUGCAGCAGGCGCGAAAACUUCACACUGCAGGAAACUGUGAUGAGGGAACUCCAAGUGGUGCGGCAAAAUGUCGCAUCUUUUCUUAACUUUUAACAGGUUUUGGAAUAAGGGCUGGGAAAGACCGGUGCCAGCCGCCGCGGUAAUACCGGCAGCUCAAGUGGUCGUCGCUUUUAUUGGGCCUAAAACGUCCGUAGCCUGUUUAGUAAAUCCGUGGGUAAAUCAACGAGCUUAACUCGUUGACUUCUGCGGACACUGCUAGACUUGGGACCGGGAGAGGUGUGGGGUACUCAUGGGGUAGGGGUAAAAUCCUGUCAUCCCAUGAGGACCACCAGUUGCGAAGGCGCCACACUAGAACGGAUCCGACGGUCAGGGACGAAGCCUAGGGGCACGAACCGGAUUAGAUACCCGGGUAGUCCUAGGUGUAAACGCUGUGGACUUGGUGUCGGGGAUCCUCUAAGGGUUCUCGGUGCCGCAGCGAAGGUGUUAAGUCCACUGCCUGGGGAGUACGGUCGCAAGGCUGAAACUUAAAGGAAUUGGCGGGGGAGCACUGCAACGGGAGGAGCGUGCGGUUUAAUUGGAUUCAACGCCGGG
This 917-nucleotide ribosomal RNA is filed under the name uncultured Candidatus Poseidoniales archaeon. Its description in RNAcentral is "bacterial SSU rRNA". It matches the Rfam family "Archaeal small subunit ribosomal RNA", at positions 1 to 922 of the family's 1478-position model. The record is from RNAcentral. Lineage: Archaea; Methanobacteriati; Thermoplasmatota; Candidatus Poseidoniia; Candidatus Poseidoniales.